UACGAAGGGUGCAAGCGUUACUCGGAAUUACUGGGCGUAAAGCGUGCGUAGGUGGUGAGUUAAGUCUGAUGUGAAAUCCCCGGGCUCAACCUGGGAAUGGCAUUGGAUACUGGCUCGCUAGAGUGCGGUAGAGGAUGGUGGAAUUCCCGGUGUAGCAGUGAAAUGCGUAGAGAUCGGGAGGAACAUCUGUGGCGAAGGCGGCCACCUGGACCAACACUGACACUGAGGCACGAAAGCGUGGGGAGCAAACAGG
This 253-nucleotide ribosomal RNA is filed under the name uncultured bacterium. Its description in RNAcentral is "partial 16S ribosomal RNA". It matches the Rfam family "Bacterial small subunit ribosomal RNA", at positions 524 to 776 of the family's 1533-position model. The record is from RNAcentral.